Molecule: ribosomal RNA, 652 nt
Filed under: uncultured bacterium
Lineage: Bacteria
Description: bacterial SSU rRNA
Rfam family: Bacterial small subunit ribosomal RNA (bases 1-544)
Source: RNAcentral
CCUACGGGAGGCAGCAGUGGGGAAUUUUGGACAAUGGGCGAAAGCCUGAUCCAGCAAUGCCGCGUGAGUGAAGAAGGCCUUCGGGUUGUAAAGCUCUUUUGUCAGGGAAGAAACGGUGAGGGCUAAUAUCCCUUGCUAAUGACGGUACCUGAAGAAUAAGCACCGGCUAACUACGUGCCAGCAGCCGCGGUAAUACGUAGGGUGCAAGCGUUAAUCGGAAUUACUGGGCGUAAAGCGUGCGCAGGCGGUUUUGUAAGUCUGUCGUGAAAUCCCCGGGCUCAACCUGGGAAUUGCGAUGGAGACUGCAAGGCUAGAAUCUGGCAGAGGGGGGUAGAAUUCCACGUGUAGCAGUGAAAUGCGUGGAGAUGUGGAGGAACACCGAUGGCGAAGGCAGCCCCCUGGGUCAAGAUUGACGCUCAUGCACGAAAGCGUGGGGAGCAAACAGGAUUAGAUACCCUGGUAGUCCACGCCCUAAACGAUGUCUACUAGUUGUUCGGGUUUUAAUUAACUUGGUAACGCAGCUAACGCGUGAAGUACGACCGCCGUGGGGAGGUACGGUCGGUCGAGAAGUUAAACGUUAACUAAAGUUAGUUAAGUUAGUUACGGCGUUGAGGACGUUGCCGACGGACGACGACGAGGGGAGGUUAGGGAG